This 500-nucleotide ribosomal RNA is filed under the name uncultured bacterium. RNAcentral describes it as "partial 16S ribosomal RNA". It matches the Rfam family "Bacterial small subunit ribosomal RNA", at positions 28 to 507 of the family's 1533-position model. The record is from RNAcentral.
GACGAACGCUGGCGGCGUGCCUAAUACAUGCCAGUCGUGCGGACCUUGUUGAAAGCUUGCUUUUAAAAGGUUAGCGGCGGACGGGUGAGUAACACGUGGGCAACCUGCCUGUAAGACUGGGAUAACGCCGGGAAACCGGGGCUAAUACCAGAUCGUUUUUUCCUCCGCAUGGAGGAAAAAGGAAAGGCGGCUUCGGCUGCCACUUACAGAUGGGCCCGCGGCGCAUUAGCUAGUUGGCGGGGUAAUGGCCCACCAAGGCAACGAUGCGUAGCCGACCUGAGAGGGUGAUCGGCCACAUUGGGACUGAGACACGGCCCAAACUCCUACGGGAGGCAGCAGUAGGGAAUCUUCCGCAAUGGACGAAAGUCUGACGGAGCAACGCCGCGUGAGUGAAGAAGGCCUUCGGGUCGUAAAACUCUGUUGCCGGGGAAGAACAAGUGCCGUUCGAACAGGGCGGCGCCUUGACGGUACCCGGCCAGAAAGCCACGGCUAACUACGUG